This 18423-nucleotide long non-coding RNA is filed under the name Triticum aestivum (bread wheat). RNAcentral describes it as "long non-coding RNA (TAES_LNC019907)". The record is from RNAcentral. Lineage: Eukaryota; Viridiplantae; Streptophyta; Magnoliopsida; Poales; Poaceae.
AAUUCACUCAGAACUAACAAGAAUGAUAACAUGCUCCGACUGGAGCGGUUUAGGAACUGCUGGAAGGCUCUAGGGGAAUAAAGAUGGAAUGACUUCUAAUUUUUAGGUCCGUAUGAUUUGAAAUACUUGCACACAAACCACGCGAAAGCGUUCCUGGAAAUCUCAGCCCAAAAAAGGACGUUUAGUAAUUCUAAAAGGGACUACAGGAUGAAAAACAAUAGUUUUGGCAGUUAAAGUUUGAGAUUCGACAGUGCCGUAGAUCCGUUUGGUCAUCAGGUAUUACGAGCCACACCCAUGUCUAGCUAGAAUAGUGUGCUAGGCUCAGGCUAGAGAAGAAACGGGGAACAAACUGAUGAAAGAAUGAUCAAACCGAGGGAAUUCACUCAGAACUAACAAUAAUGAUAACGUGCUCCGACUGGUGCGGUUUAGGAACUGCUGGAAGGCUCUAGGGGAAUAAAGAUGGAAUGACUUCUAAUUUUUAGGUCCGUAUGAUUUGAAAUACUUGCACACAAACCGCGCGAAAGCGUUCCUGGAAAUCUCAGCCCAAAAAAGGACGUUUAGUAAUUUUAAAAGGGACUAUAGGAUGAAAAACAAUAGUUUUGGCAAUUAAAGUUUGAGAUUCGACGGUGUCGUAGAUCCGUUUGGUCAUCAGGUGUUACGAGCCACACCCAUGUCUAGCUAGAAUAGUAUGUCAGGCUCAGGUUAGAGUAGAAACGGGGAACAAACUGAUGAAAGAAUGAUCAUACCAAGGGAAUUCACUCAGAACUAUCAAGAAUGAUAACGUGCUCCGACUGGAGUGAUUUAGGAACUGCUGGAAGGCUCUAGGGGAAUAAAGAUGGAAUGACUUCUAAUUUUUACGUCCGUAUGAUUUGAAAUACUUGCACACAAAUCACGCAAAAGCGUUCCUGGAAAUCUCAGCCUAAAAAAGGACGUUUAGUAAUUCUAAAAGGGACUACAGGAUGAAAAACAAUAGUUUGGGCAGUUAAAAUUUGAGAUUCGACGGUGCCGUAGAUCCGUUUGGUCAUCAGGUGUUACGAGCGACACCCUUGUCUAGCUAGAAUAGUGUGUUAGGCUCAGACUAGAGAAGAAACGGGGAACAAAGUGAUGAAAGAAUGAUCAUACCGAGGGAAUUCACUCAGAACUAACAAGAAUGAUAACGUGCUCCGACUGGAGCGGUUUAGUAACUGCUGGAAGGCUCUAGGGGAAUGAAGAUGGAAUGACUUCUAAUUUUUAGGUCCGUAUGAUUUGAAAUACAUGCACACAAACCCUGAGAAAGCGUUCCUGGAAAUCUCGGUCGAAAAAAGGAUGUUUAAUAAUUCUAAAAGGGACUACCGGAUGAAAAACAAUAGUUUUGGCAGUUAAAGUUUGUGAUUCGAUGGUGCCGUAGAUCUGUUUGGUCAUCAGGUGUUACGAGCCACACCCAUGUCUAUCUAGAAUAGUGUGUUAGGCUCAGGCUAGAGCAGAAACGGGGAACAGACUUAUGAAAGAAUGAUCAUACCGAGGGAAUUCACUCAGAACUAACAAGAAUGAUAACGUGCUCCGACUGGCGCGGUUUAGGAACUGCUGGAAGGCUCUAGGGGAAUAAAGAUGGAAAGACUUCUAAUUUUUAGGUCCGUAUGAUUUGAAAUACUUGCACACAAACCGCACGAAAGCGUUCCUGGAAAUCUCAGCCUAAAAAGGAUGUUUAGUAAUUCUAAAAGGGACUACAAGAUGAAAAAUAAUAGUUUGGGCAGUUAAAAUUUGAGAUUCGACGAUGCCGUAGAUCCGUUUGGUCAUCAGGUGUUAUGAGCCACACCCAUGUCUAGCUAGAAUAGUGUGUUAGGCUCAGGCUAGAGAAGAAACGGGGAACAAACUGAUGAAAGAAUGAUCAUACCGAGGGAAUUCACUCAGAACUAACAAGAAUGAUAACGUGCUCCGACUGGAGCAGUUUAGAAACUGCUGGAAGGCUCUAAUGGAAUAAAGAUGGAAUGCCUUCAAAUUUCUAGGUCCGUAUGAUUUGAAAUACUUGCACACAAACCGCUCGAAAGCGUUCCUGGAAAUCUCAGCCCAAAAAAGGACGUUUAGUAAUUCUAAAAGGGACUACAGGAUGAAAAACAAUAGUUUUGGCAGUUAAAGUUUGAGAUUCGAUGGUGCCGUAGAUCCGUUUGGUCAUCAGGUGUAACGAGCCACACACAUGUCUAGCUAGAGUAGUGUGCUAGGCUCAGACUAGAGAAGAAACGGGGAACAAAGUGAUGAAAGAAUGAUCAUACCGAGGGAAUUCACUCAGAACUUACAAGAAUGAUAACGUGCUCCGACUGGAGCGCUUUAGUAACUGCUGGAAGGCUCUAGGCGAAUAAAGAUGGAAUGACUUCUAAUUUUUAGGUCCGUAUGAUUUGAAAUACUUGCACACAAACCACGCAAAACCGUUCCUAGAAAUCUCGGUCGAAAAAAGGACGUUUAGUAAUUCUAAAAGGGACUACAGGAUGAAAAACAAUAGUUUUGGCAGUUAAAGUUUGAGAUUCGAUGGUGCCGUAGAUCCGUUUGGUCAUCAGGUGUUACGAGCCACACCCAUGUCUAGCUAGAGUAGUGUGCUAGGUUCAGACUAGAGAAGAAACGGGGAACAAAGUGAUUAAAGAAUGAUCAUACCGAGGGAAUUCACUCAGAACUAACAAGAAUGAUAACGUGCUCCGACUGGAGCGGUUUAGGAACUGCUGGAAGGCUCUAGGGGAAUAAAGAUGGAAUGACUUCUAAUUUUUACGUCCGUAUGAUUUGAAAUACAUGCACACAAACCACGCAAAAGCGUUCCUGGAAAUCUCAGCCUAAAAAAGGACGUUUAGUAAUUCUAAAAGGGACUACAGGAUGAAAAAUAAUAGUUUGGGCAGUUAAAAUUUGAGAUUCGACGCUGCCGUAGAUCCGUUUGGUCAUCAGGUCUUACGAGCCACACCCAUGUCUAGCUAGAAUAGUGUGUUAGGCUCAGGCUAGAGAAGAAACGGGGAACAAACUGAUGAAAGAAUGAUCAUACCGAGGGAAUUCACUCAGAACUAACAAGAAUGAUAACGUGCUCCGACUGGAGCAGUUUAGAAACUCCUGGAAGGCUCUAGGGGAAUAAAGAUGGAAUGACUUCAAAGUUUUAGGUCCGUAUGAUUUGAAAUACUUGCACACAAACCGCGUGAAAGCGUUCCUGGAAAUCUCAACCCAAAAAAGGGCGUUUAGUAAUUCUAAAAGGGACUACAGGAUGUAAAACAAUAGUUUUGGCAGUUAAAGUUUGAGAUUCGAUGGUGCCGUAGAUCCGUUUGGUCAUCAGGUGUAACGAGCCACACCCAUGUCUAGCUAGAGUAGUGUGCUAGGCUCAGACUAGAGAAGAAACGGGGAACAAAGUGAUGAAAGAAUGAUCAUACCGAGGGAAUUCACUCAUAACUAACAAGAAUGAUAACGUGCUCUGACUUGAGCGGUUUAGGAACUGCUGGAAGGCUAUAGGGGAAUAAAGAUGGAAUGACUUCAAAUUUUUAGGUCCGUAUGAUCUGAAAUACUUGCACACAAACCGCGAGAAAGCGUUCCUGGAAAUCUCAACCCAAAAAAGGACGUUUAGUAAUUCUAAAAGGGACUACAGGAUGAAAAACAAUAGUUCUGGCAGUUAUUGUUUGAGAUUCGAUAAUCUCGUAGAUCCGUUUGGUCAUCAGGUGUAACGAGCCACACCCAUGUCUAGCUAGAGUAGUGUGCUAGGCUCAGACUAGAGAAGAAACGGGGAACAAACUGAUGAAAGAAUGAUCAUACCGAGGGAAUUCACUUAGAACUAACAAGAAUGAUAACGUGCUCCGACUGGAGCGGUUUAGGAACUGCUGGAAGGCUCUAGGGGAAUAAAGAAGGAACGACUUCUAAUUUUUAGGUCCGUAUGAUUUGAAAUAUGUGCACACAAACCACGAGAAAGCGUUCCUAGAAAUCUCGGCCCAAAAGAGGACGUUUAGUAUUCUAAAAGGGACUACAGAAUGAAAAACAAUAGUUUUGGCAGUUAAAGUUUGAGAUUUGACGGUGCCGUAGAUCUGUUUGGUCAUCAGGGGUUACGAGCCACACCCAUGUCUAGCUAGAAUAGUGUGUUAGGCUCAGGCUAGAAAAGAAACGGGGAACAAAGUGAUGAAAGAAUGAUCAUACCGAGGGAAUUCACUCAGAACUAACAAGAAUGAUAACAUGCUCCGACUGGAGCGGUUUAGGAACUGCUGGAAGGCUCUAGGGGAAUAAAGAUGGAAUGACUUCUAAUUUUUAGGUCCGUAUGAUUUGAAAUACUUGCACACAAACCGCGCGAAAGCGUUCCUGGAAAUCUCAGCCCAAAAAAGGACGUUUAGUAAUUCUAAAAGGGACUACAGGAUGAAAAACAAUAGUUUUGGCAGUUAAAGUAUGAGAUUCAACGGUGCCGUAGAUCCGUUUGGUCAUUAGGUGUUACGAGCCACACCCAUGUCUAGCUAGAAUAGUGUGCUAGGCUCAGGCUAGAGAAGAAACGGGGAACAAACUGAUGAAAGAAUGAUCAAACCGAGGGAAUUCACUCAGAACUAACAAUAAUGAUAACGUGCUCCGACUGGAGCGGUUUAGGAACUGCUGGAAGUCUCUAGGGGAAUAAAGAUGGAAUGACUUCUAAUUUUUACGUUCGUAUGAUUUGAAAAACUUGCCCAUAAACCGCGCGAAAGUGUUCCUGGAAAUCUCAGCCCAAAAAAGGACGUUUAGUAAUUUUAAAAGGGACUACACGAUGAAAAACAAUAGUUUUGGCAGGUAAAGUUUGAGAUUCGACAGUGCCGUAGAUCCGUUUGGUCAUCAGGUGUUACGAGCCACACCCAUGUCUAGCUAGAAUAGUAUGUUACGCUCAGGUUAGAGAAGAAACGGGGAACAAACUGAUGAAAGAUGAUCAUACCAAGGGAAUUCACUCAGAACUAACAAGAAUGAUAACGUGCUCCGACUGGAGCGGUUUAGGAACUGCUGGAAGGCUCUAGGGGAAUAAAGAUGGAAUGACUUCUAAUUUUUACGUCUGUAUGAUUUGAAAUACUUGCACACAAACAACGCAAAAGCAUUCCUGGAAAUCUCAUCCUAAAAAAGGACGUUUAGUAAUUCUAAAAGGGACUACAGGAUGAAAAAUAAUAGUUUGGGAAGUUAAAAUUUGAGAUUCGAUAGUGCCGUAGAUCCGUUUGGUCAUCAGGUGUUAGGAGCCACACCCAUGUCUAGCUAGAAUAGUGUGUUAGGCUCAGGCUAGAGAAGAAACAGGGAACAAACUGAUGAAAGAAUGAUCAUACCGAGGGAAUUCACUCAGAACUAGCAAGAAUGAUAACGUGCUCCGACUGGAGCAGUUUUGAAACUGCUGGAAGGCUCUAGGGGAAUAAUGAUGGAAUGACUUCUAAGUUUUUGGUCCGUAUGAUUUGAAAUACGUGCACACAAACCCAGAGAAAGUGUUCUUGGAAAUCUCGGCCGAAAAAAGGAUGUUUAAUAAUUCUAAAAGGGACUACAGGAUGAAAAACAAUAGUUUUGGCAGUUAAAGUUUGUGAUUCGAUGGUGCUGUAGAUCUGUUUGGUCAUCAGGUGUUAUGAGCCACACCCAUGUCUAGCUAGAACAGUGUGUUAGGCUCAGGCUAGAGCAGAAACGGGGAACAAACUUAUGAAAGAAUGAUCAUACCGAGGGAAUUCACUCAGAACUAACAAGAAUGAUAACGUGCUCCGACUGGAGAGGUUUAGGAACUGCUGGAAGGCUCUAGGGGAAUAAAGAUGGAAUGACUUCAAAUUUUUAGGUCUGUAUGAUCUGAAAUACUUGCACACAAACCGCGAGAAAGCGUUCCUGGAAAUCUCAGCCCAAAAAAGGACGUUUAGUGAUUCUAAAAGGGACUACGGGAUAAAAAACAAUAGUUUUGGCAGUUAAAGUUUGAGAUUCGAUAAUGCCGUAGAUCCGUUUGGUCAUCAGGUGUAACGAGCCACACCCAUGUCUAGCUAGAGUAGUGUGCUAGGCUCAUACUAGAGAAGAAAUGGGGAACAAACUGAUGAAAGAAUGAUCAUACCGAGGGAGUUCACUCAAAACUAACAUGAAUGAUAACGUGCUCCGACUGGAGCGGUUUAGGAACUGCUGGAAGGCUCUAGGGGAAUAAAGAUGGAAUGACUUCUAAUUUUUAGGUCCGUAUGAUUUGAAAUACAUGCACACAAACCCCAAGAAAGCGUUCCUGGAAAUCUCGCCCCGAAAAACGACGUUUAGUAAUUCUAAAAGGGACUAUAGGAUGAAAAACAAUAGUUUUGGCAGUUAAAGUUUGAGAUUUGACGGUGCCGUAGAUCUGUUUGGUCAUCAGGUGUUACGAGCCACACCCAUUUCUAGCUAGAAUAGUGUGUUAGGCUCAGGCUAGAAAAGAAACGGGGAACAAAGUGAUGAAAGAAUGAUCAUACCGAGGGAAUUCACUCAGAACUAACAAGAAUGAUAACAUGGUCCGACUGGAGCGGUUUAGGAACUGCUGGAAGGCUCUAGGGGAAUAAAGAUGGAAUGACUUCUAACUUUUAGGUCCGUAUGAUUUGAAUUACUUGCACACAAACCGCGCGAAAGCGUUCCUGGAAAUCUCAGCCCAAAAAAGGACGUUUAGUAAUUCUAAAAGGGACUACAGGAUGAAAAACAAUAGUUUUGGCAGUUAAAGUUUGAGAUUCGACGGUGCCGUAGAUCCGUUUGGUCAGCAGGUGUUACGAGCCACACCCAUGUCUAGCUAGAGUAGUGUGCUAGGUUCAGACUAGAGAAGAAAUGUUGGGGAACGUAGCAGAAAUUCAAAAUUUUCCUACGUGUCACCAAGAUCUAUCUAUGGAGAGACUAGCAACGAGGGAAGGAGAGUGCAUCUACAUACCCUUGUAGAUCGCUAAGCGGAAGCGUUCAAGUGAACGGGGUUGAUGGAGUCGUACUCGUCGUGAUUCAGCUCACCGAUGAUCCUAGUGCCGAACGGACGGCACCUCCGCGUUCAACACACGUACAGCUCGACGAUGUCUCCCACGCCUUGAUCCAGCAAGGAGAGAGGGAGAGGUUGAGGAAGACUCCAUCCAGCAGAAGCACAACGGCGUGGUGGUGAUGGAGGAGCAUGGCAAUCCUGCAGGGCUUCGCCAAGCACCUAUGGGAGAGGAGGAGGUGUCACGGGAGGGAGGGAGGCGCCAAGGGCUCAGGUAUAGAUGCCCUCCCUCCCCUCCACUAUAUAUAGGGGCAAGGGAGAGGGGGGAGGCGCAGCCUUGCCCCUUCCUCCAAGGAAGGGGUGCGGCUAAGAGGGGGGGAGGAGUCCAUCCUCCCCAAGGCACCUCGGAGGUGCCUUCCCCCUUUAGGACUCUCCCCUUUUUCCUAUAUCUUGGCGCAUGGGCCUCUAGGGGCUGGUUCCCUUGGCCCAUGUAGGCCCAGGCGCACCCCCUACAGCCCAUGUGGCCCCCCGGGGCAGGUGGCCCCACCUGGUGGGCCCCCGGGACCCUUCCGGUGGUCCCGGUACAAUACCGAUGACCCCGAAACUUGUCCCGAUGGCCGAAACAGGACUUCCUAUAUAUAAAUCUUUACCUCCGGACAAUUCCGGAACUCCUCGUGACGUCCGGGAUCUCAUCCGGGACUCCGAACAACAUUCGGUAACCACAUACAAACUUCCUUUAUAACCCUAGCGUCAUCGAACCUUAAGUGUGUAGACCCUACGGGUUCGGGAGACAUGUAGUCAUGACCGAGAUGUUCUCCGGUCAAUAACCAACAGCGGGAUCUGGAUACCCAUGUUGGCUCCCACAUGUUCCACGAUGAUCUCAUCGGAUGAACCACGAUGUCAAGGACUCAAUCAAUCCCGUAUACAAUUCCCUUUGUCUAGCGGUAUGGUACUUGCCCGAGAUUCGAUCGUCGGUAUACCGAUACCUUGUUCAAUCUCGUUACCGGCAAGUCUCUUUACUCAUUUCGUAACACAUCAUCCCGUGAUCAACCCCUUGGUCACAUUGUGCACAUUAUGAUGAUGUCCUACCGAGUGGGCCCAGAGAUACCUCUCCGUUUACACGGAGUGACAAAAUCCCAAUCUCGAUUCGUGCCAACCCAACAGACACUUUCAGAGAUACCCGUAGUGUACCUUUACAGCCACCCAGUUACGUUGUGACGUUUGGCACACCCAAAGCACUCCUACAGUAUCCGGGAGUUGCACAAUCUCAUGGUCUAAGGAAAUGAUACUUGACAUUAGAAAAGCUUUAGCAUACGAACUACAUGAUCUUGUGCUAGGCUUAGGAUUGGGUCUUGUCCAUCACAUCAUUCUCCUAAUGAUGUGAUCCCGUUAUCAACGACAUCCAAUGUCCAUGGUCAGGAAACCGUAACCAUCUAUUGAUUAACGAGCUAGUCAACUAGAGGCUUACUAGGGACAUGGUGUUGUCUAUGUAUCCACACAUGUAUCUAAGUUUCCUAUCAAUACAAUUCUAGCAUGGAUAAUAAACGAUUAUCAUGAACAAGGAAAUAUAAUAAUAAUCAAUUUAUUAUUGCCUCUAGGGCAUAUUUCCAACAGUCUCCCACUUGCACUAGAGUCAAUAAUCUAGUUCACAUCGAUAUGUGAUUAACACUCAAGGUCACAUUCCCAUGUGACUAACACCCAAGAGUUUACUAGAGUCAAUAAUCUAGUUCACAUUUACCAUGUGAUUAACACUUGAUGAGUUCUGGGUUUGAUCAUGUUAUGCUUGUGAGAGAGGUUAUAGUCAACGGGUCUGAACCUUUCAGAUCCGUGUGUGCUUUACAAAUCUCUAUGUCAUCUCCUAGAUGCAGCUACCACGUUCUAUUUGGAGCUAUUCCAAAUAACUGUUCUACUUGGAGCUAUUCUAAAUUGUUGCUCCAUUAUACGUAUCCGGUAUCUCUACUCAGAGCUAUCCGGAUAGGUGUUAAGCUUGCAUCGACGUAACCCUUUACGACGAACUCUUUUACCACCUCCAUAAUUGAGAAAAUUCCUUAGUCCACUAGUUACUAAGGAUAACUUUGACCGCUGUCCUGUGAUCCAUUCUUGGAUCACUCUUGUACCCCUUGACUGACUCAUGGUAAAGCACACUUCAGGUGCGGUACACAGCAUAGCAUACUGUAGAGCCUAUGUCUUAAGCAUAGGGGACGACCUUCGUUCCUUUCUCUCUAUUCUGCCAUGGUCGAGCUUUAAGUCUUAACUUCAUACCUUACAACUCAGGCAAGAACUCCUUCUUUGACUGAUCCAUCUUGAACACCUUCAAGAUCACGUCAAGGCAUGUGCUCACGUCAAGAUCACGUCGGUAUACCGAUACCUUGUUCAAUCUCGUUACCGGCAAGUCUCUUUACUCGUUCCGUAACACAUCAUCCCGUGAUCAACCCCUUGGUCACAUUGUGCACAUUAUGAUGAUGUCCUACCGAGUGGGCCCAGAGAUACCUCUCCGUUUACACGGAGUGACAAAAUCCCAAUCUCGAUUCGUGCCAACCCAACAGACACUUUCAGAGAUACCCGUAGUGUACCUUUAUAGCCACCCAGUUACGUUGUGACGUUUGGCACACCCAAAGCACUCCUACGGUAUCCGGGAGUUGCACAAUCUCAUGGUCUAAGGAAAUGAUACUUGACAUUAGAAAAGCUUUAGCAUACGAACUACAUGAUCUUGUGCUAGGCUUAGGAUUGGGUCUUGUCCAUCACAUCAUUCUCCUAAUGAUGUGAUCCCGUUAUCAACGACAUCCAAUGUCCAUGGUCAGGAAACCGUAACCAUCUAUUGAUUAACGAGCCAGUCAACUAGAGGCUUACUAGGGACAUGGUGUUGUCUAUGUAUCCACACAUGUAUCUGAGUUUCCUAUCAAUACAAUUCUAGCAUGGAUAAUAAACGAUUAUCAUGAACAAGGAAAUAUAAUAAUAAUCAAUUUAUUAUUGCCUCUAGGGCAUAUUUCCAACAGUCUCCCACUUGCACUAGAGUCAAUAAUCUAGUUCACAUCACCAUGUGAUUAACACUGACAGGUCACAUCACCAUGUGACCAACAUCCAAAGAGUCUUGGGUUUGAUCAUGUUGCUUGUGAGAGAGGUUAUAGUCAACGGGUCUGAACCUUUCAGAUCCGUGUGUGCUUUACAAAUCUCUAUGUCAUCUCCUAGAUGCAGCUACCACGUUCUAUUUGGAGCUAUUCCAAAUAACUGUUCUACUUGGAGCUAUUCUAAAUUGUUGCUCCAUUAUACGUAUCCGGUAUCUCUACUCAGAGCUAUCCGGAUAGGUGUUAAGCUUGCAUCGACGUAACCCUUUACGACGAACUCUUUUACCACCUCCAUAAUUGAGAAAAUUCCUUAGUCCACUAGUUACUAAGGAUAACUUUGACCGCUGUCCUGCGAUCCAUUCUUGGAUCACCCUUGUACCCCUUGACUGACUCAUGGUAAAGCACACUUCAGGUGCGGUACACAGCAUAGCAUACUGUAGAGCCUAUGUCUUAAGCAUAGGGGAUGACCUUCGUUCCUUUCUCUCUAUUCUGCCAUGGUCGAGCUUUAAGUCUUAACUUCAUACCUUACAACUCAGGCAAGAACUCCUUCUUUGACUGGUCCAUCUUGAACACCUUCAAGAUCAUGUCAAGGUAUGUGCUCAUUUGAAAGUACUAUUAAGCGUUUUGAUCUAUCCUUAUAGAUCUUGAUGCUCAAUGUUCAAGUAGCUUAAUCCAGGUUUUCCAUUGAAAACACUUUCCAAAUAACCCUAUAUGCUUUCCAGAAAUUCUACGUCAUUUCUGAUCAUUAAUAUGUCAACAACAUAUAAUCAUCAGAAAUUCUAUAGUGCUCCCACUCACUUCUUUGGAAAUACAAGUUUCUCAUAAACUUUGUAUACACCCAAAAUCUUUGAUCAUCAUCAAAGCAUACAUUCCAACUCCGAGAUGCUCACUCCAGUCCUCAGAAGGAUUGCUGGAGCUUUGCAUACUUAUUAGCAUAUUUCAGGAUAGACAAAACCUUCCAGUUGUAUCACAUACAACCUUUCCUCAAGAAUCGUCGACGAAACAAUGUUUUGACAUCCUAUCUGCAAGAUUUCAUAAAUAAUGCAGUAAUUGUUAAUAUAAUUCCAACAGACUCUUAGCAUCGCUACGAGUGAGAAAGUCUCAUUGUAGUCAACUCCUUGAACUUGUCAAAAAACAUCUUAACGACAAGUCGAGCUUUCUCAAUGGUGACACUUACCAUCAUUGUCUGUCUUCCUUUCAAAAUCCAUAUGUACCUAACAGCCUUACGACCAUCAAGUAGUUCUUCCAAAGUCUACACUUUGUUUUCAUACAUGGAUCCUCUCUCGGGUUUUAUGGCCAUGAGCCAUUUAUCGGAAUCCGGGCCCACCAUUGCUUCUCCAUAGCUCGUAGGUUCAUUGUUGUCUAGCAACAUGACUUCCAAGACAGGAUUACUGUACCACUCUGAAGUAGUACGUAUCCUUGUCACCCUACGAGGUUUGGGAGUGACUUGAUCUGAAGUUUCAUGAUCACUAUCAUAAGCUUCUACUUCAAUUGGUGUAGGUGCCACAGGAACAACUUCCUGUGCCCUGCUACACACUGGUUGAAGUGAUGGUUCAAUAACCUCAUCAAGUCUCCACCAUCCUCCCACUCAAUUCUUUCGAGAGAAACCUUUCCUCGAGAAAGGACCCAAUUCUAGAAACAAUUCAUAUUGCUUUCGGAUCUGAAUUAGGAAGUAUACCCAACUGUUUUGGGUGUCCUAUGAAGAUGUACUUUAUCCGCUUUGGUUUCGAGCUUAAUCCUGAAACUUUUUCACAUAAGUGUCGCAGCCCCAAACCUUUAAGAAACGACAACUUAGGUUUCUCUAAACCAUAAUUCAUACGGUGUCAUCUCAUCGGAAUUACGUGGUGCCCUAUUUAAAGUGAAUGUGGUUGUCUUUAAUGCCUAACCCAUAAACUAUCGUGGCAGUUCGAUAAGAGACAUCAUGGUAUGCAUCAUAUCCAAUAGGGUGCAACUAUGAUGUUCGGACACACCAUCACACUAUGGUGUUCCAGGCGGUAUUAAUUGUGAAACAAUUUCCACAAUGUCUUAAUUGUGUGCCAAAACUCGUAACUCAGAUACUCAUCUCUAUGAUCAUAUCAUAGACAUUUUAUCCUCUUGUCACAAUGAUCUUCUACUUCACUCUGAAAUUACUUGAACCAUUCAACAAUUCAGACUUGUGUUUCAUCAAGUAAAUAUUCUCAACAUCUACUCGAAUCAUCUGUGAAGUAAGAACAUAACGAUAUUCACUGCAUGCCUCAGCACUCAUUGGACUGCACACAUCAAAAUGUGUUACUUCCAACAAGUUGCUAUCUUGUUCCAUCUUACUGAAAACGAGGCUUUUCAGUCAUCUUGCCCAUGUGGUAUGAUUUGCAUGUCCCAAGUGAUUCAAAAAUCAAGUGAGUCAAAACGGUCCAUUUGCAUGGAGUUUCUUCAUGCAUAUACACCAAUAGACAUGGUUCGCAUGUCUCAAACUUUUCAAAAACGAGUGAGCCCAAAGAUCCAUCAAUAUGGAGCUUCUUCAUGCGUUUUAUACCGAUAUGACUUACGUGGUAGUGCCACAAGUAGGUGGUACUAUCAUUACUAUCUUUUGGCAUGAACAUGUGUAUCACUACGAUCGAGAUUUAAUAAACCAUUCAUUUUAGGUGUAAGACCAUUGAAGGUAUUAUUCAAAUAAACAGAGUAACCAUUAUUCUCCUUAAAUGAAUAACCGUAUUGCGAUAGACGUAAUCCAAUCAUGUCUAUGCUCAACGCAAACACCAAAUAACAAUUAUUUAGGUUUAACACCAAUCUCUUUGGUAGAGGGAGCGUGCGAUGCUUGAUCAUAUCAAGCAUGGAAAAACUUACAACACAUAUCGUCAGCUCACCUUUAGCUAGUCUCUGUUUAUUCCGUAGCCUUUUGUUUCGAGUUACUAACACUUAGCAACCGAACUGGUAUCUAAUACCCUGGUGCUACUAGGAGUACUAGCAAAGUACACAUUAACACAAUGUAUAUCCAAUAUACUUCUAUCGACCUUGCCAGCCUUCUUAUCUACCAAGUAUCUAGGGUAAUUCUGCUCUAGUAGUUGUUCCCCUUAUUACAGAAGCACUUAGUCUCGGGUUUGGGUUUUACCUUGGGUUUCUUCACUAGAGCAGCAGCUGAUUUGCCGUUUCAUGAAGUAUCCCUUCUUGCCCUUGCCCUUCUUGAAACUAGUGGUUCCACCAACCAUCAACAAUUGAUGCUCCUUCUUGAUUUCUACUUUCGCGGUGUCAAACAUCGCGAAUACCUCAAGGAUCAUCAUAUCUAUCCCUGAUAUGUUAUAGUUCAUCAUGAAGCUCUAACAGCUUGGUGGCAAUGACUUUGGAGAACCAUCACUAUCUCAUCUGGAAGAUCAACUCCCACUCGAUUCAAGCGAUUGUUGUACUCAGACAAUCUGAGCACAAGCUCAACGAUUGAGCUUUUCUCCCUUAGUUUGCAGGUUAAGAAAGUCAUCGGAGGUCUUAUACCUCUUGACAUGGGCACGAGCCUGAAAUCCCAAUUUCAGCCCUCAAAACAUCUCAUAUGUUUCGCGAUGUUUCAAAAACGUCUUUGGUGCCUCAACUCUAAACCGUUUAACUGAACUAUCACGUAGUUAUCAAAACGUGUAUGUCAGAUGUUCGCAACAACCACAGACAACGUUCGAGGUUCAGCACACUGAGCGGUGCAUUAAGGACAUAAGCCUUCUAUGAAGCAAUGAGGACAAUCCUCAGUUUACGGACCUAGUCCGCAUAAUUGCUACUAUCAACUUUCAACUAAUUUUUCUCUAGGAACAUAUCUAAACAGUAGAACUAUAGCGUGAGCUACGACAUAAUUUGCAAAAACCUUUUGACUAUGUUCAGGAUAAUUAAGUUCAUCUUAUGAACUCCCACUCAGAUAGACAUCCCUCUAGUCAUCUAAGUGAUUACAUGAUCCGAGUCAAACUAGGCCGUGUCCGAUCAUCACGUGAGACGGACUAGUCAUCAUCGGUGAACAUCUUCAUGUUGAUCGUAUCUUCUAUACGACUCAUGUUCGACCUUUCGGUCUUCGUGUUCCGAGGCCAUGUAUGUACAUGCUAGGCUCGUCAAGUUAACCCUAAGUGUUUCGCGUGUGUAAAUCUGUCUUACACCCGUUGUAUGUGAACGUUAGAAUCUAACACCCGAUCAUCACGUGGUGCUUCGAAACACGAACUGUCGCAACGGUGCACAGUUAGGGGAGAACACUUCUUGAAAUUGUUGUAAGGGAUCAUCUUAUUUACUACCGUCGUUCUAAGCAAAUAAGAUGUAUAAACAUGAUAAACAUCACAUGCAAUCAAAUAGUGACAUGAUAUGGCCAUCAUCACUUUGCUCCUUUUGAUCUCCAUCUUCGGGGCUCCAUGAUCAUCAUCGUCACCGGCAUGACACCAUGAUCUCCAUCAUCAUGAUCUCCAUCAUCGUGUCUUCAUGAAGUUGCCUCGCCAACUAUUACUUCUACUACUAUGGCUAACGGUUAGCAAUAAAGUAAAGUAAUUACAUGACGUUUAAGUUGACACGCAGGUCACAAAUGAAUAAAGACAACUCCUAUGGCUCCUGCCGGUUGUCAUACUCAUCGACAUGCAAGUCGUGAUUCCUAUUACAAGAACAUGAUCAAUCUCAUACAUCACAUAUAUCAUUCAUCACAUCCUUUUUGGCCAUAUCACAUCACAUAGCAUACCCUGCAAAAACAAGUUAGACGUCCUCUAAUUGUUGUUUGCAUGUUUUACGUGGCUGCUAUGGGUUUCUAGCAAGAACGUUUCUUACCUACGCAUGAACAACAACGUGAUAUGCCAAUUGCUAUUUACCCUUCAUAAGGACCCUUUUCAUCGAAUCCGAUCCGACUAAAGUGGGAGAGACAGACACCCGCCAGCCACCUUAUGCAACUAGUGCAUGUUUGUCGGUGGAACCGGUCUCACGUAAGCGUACGUGUAAGGUUGGUCCGGGCCGCUUCAUCCCACGAUGCCGCCGAAUCAAGAUAAGACUAGUAACGGCAAGCAUAUUGAACAAUAUCAACGCCCACAACUACUUUGUGUUCUACUCGUGCAAAGAAUCUACGCAAUAGACCUAGCUCAUGAUGCCACUGUUGGGGAACGUAGCAGAAAUUCAAAAUUUUCCUACGUGUCACCAAGAUCUAUCUAUGGAGAUACUAGCAACGAGGGAAGGAGAGUGCAUCUACAUACCCUUGUAGAUCGCUAAGCGGAAGCGUUCAAGUGAACGGGGUUGAUGGAGUCGUACUCGUCGUGAUUCAGAUCACCGAUGAUCCUAGUGCCGAACGGACGGCACCUCCGCGUUCAACACACGUACAGCUCGACGAUGUCUCCCACGCCUUGAUCCAGCAAGGAGAGAGGGAGAGGUUGAGGAAGACUCCAUCCAGCAGCAGCACAACGGCGUGGUGGUGAUGGAGGAGCGUGGCAAUCCUGCAGGGCUUCGCCAAGCACCUACGGGAGAGGAGGAGGUGUCACGGGAGGGAGGGAGGCGCCAAGGGCUCAGGUAUAGAUGCCCUCCCUCCCCUCCACUAUAUAUAGGGGCAAGGGAGAGGGGGAGGCGCAUCCUUGCCCCUUCCUCCAAGGAAGGGGUGCGGCUAAGAGGGGGGGAGGAGUCCAUCCUCCCCAAGGCACCUCGGAGGUGCCUUCCCCCUUUAGGACUCUCCCCUUUUUCCUAUAUCUUGGCGCAUGGGCCUCUAGGGGCUGGUGCCCUUGGCCCAUGUAGGCCAAGGCGCACCCCCCUACAGCCCAUGUGGCCCCCCGGGGCAGGUGGCCCCACCCGGUGGGCCCCCGGGACCCUUCCGGUGGUCCCGGUACAAUACCGAUGACCCCGAAACUUGUCCCGAUGGCCGAAACAGGACUUCCUAUAUAUAAAUCUUUACCUCCGGACCAUUCCGGAACUCCUCGUGACGUCCGGGAUCUCAUCCGGGACUCCGAACAACAUUCGGUAACCACAUACAAACUUCCUUUAUAACCCUAGCGUCAUCGAACCUUAAGUGUGUAGACCCUACGGGUUCGGGAGACAUGUAGUCAUGACCGAGAUGUUCUCCGGUCAAUAACCAACAGCGGGAUCUGGAUACCCAUGUUGGCUCGCACAUGUUCCACGAUGAUCUCAUCGGAUGAACCACGAUGUCAAGGACUCAAUCAAUCCCGUAUACAAUUCCCUUUGUCUAGCGGUAUGGUACUUGCCCGAGAUUCGAUCGUCGGUAUACCGAUACCUUGUUCAAUCUCGUUACCGGCAAGCCUCUUUACUCGUUCCGUAACACAUCAUCCCGUGAUCAACCCCUUGGUCACAUUGUGCACAUUAUGAUGAUGUCCUACCGAGUGGGCCCAGAGAUACCUCUCCGUUUACACGGAGUGACAAAAUCCCAAUCUCGAUUCGUGCCAACCCAACAGACACUUUCAGAGAUACCCGUAGUGUACCUUUAUAGCCACCCAGUUACGUUGUGACGUUUGGCACACCCAAAGCACUCCUACGGUAUCCGGGAGUUGCACAAUCUCAUGGUCUAAGGAAAUGAUACUUGACAUUAGAAAAGCUUUAGCAUACGAACUACAUGAUCUUGUGCUAGGCUUAGNNNNNNNNNNUGAUCAACCCCUUGGUCACAUUGUGCACAUUAUGAUGAUGUCCUACCGAGUGGGCCCAGAGAUACCUCUCCGUUUACACGGAGUGACAAAAUCCCAAUCUCGAUUCGUGCCAACCCAACAGACAUUUUCAGAGAUACCCGUAGUGUACCUUUAUAGCCACCCAGUUACGUUGUGACGUUUGGCACACCCAAAGCACUCCUACGGUAUCCGGGAGUUGCACAAUCUCAUGGUCUAAGGAAAUGAUACUUGACAUUAGAAAAGCUUUAGCAUACGAACUACAUGAUCUUGUGCUAGGCUUAGGAUUGGGUCUUGUCCAUCACAUCAUUCUCCUAAUGAUGUGAUCCCGUUAUCAACGACAUCCAAUGUCCAUGGUCAGGAAACCGUAACCAUCUAUUGAUUAACGAGCUAGUCAACUAGAGGCUUACUAGGGACAUGGUGUUGUCUAUGUAUCCACACAUGUAUCUGAGUUUCCUAUCAAUACAAUUCUAGCAUGGAUAAUAAACGAUUAUCAUGAACAAGGAAAUAUAAUAAUAAUCAAUUUAUUAUUGCCUCUAGGGCAUAUUUCCAACAAGAAACGGGGAACAAACUGAUGAAAGAAUGAUCAUACCGAGGGAAUUCACUCAGAACUAACAAGAAUGAUAACGUGCUUUGACUGGAGCGGUUUAAAAACUGCUGGAAGGCUCUAGGGGAAUAAAGAUGGAAUGCCUUCAAAUUUCUAGGUCCGUAUGAUUUGAAAUACUUGCACACAAACCGCGCGAAAGCGUUCCUGGAAAUCUCAGCCCAAAAAAGGACGUUUAGUAAUUCUAAAAGGGACUACAGAAUGAAAAACAAUAGUUUUGGCAGUUAAAGUUUGAGAUUCGAUGGUGCCGUAGAUCCGUUUGGUCAUCAGGUGUAACGAGCCACACCCAUGUCUAGCUAGAGUAGUGUGCUAGGCUCAGGCUAGAGAAGAAACGGGGAACAAACUGAUGAAAGAAUGAUCAUACCGAGGGAAUUCACUCAGAACUAACAAGAAUGAUAACGUGCUCCGACUGGAGCGGUUUAGGAACUGCUGGAAGGCUCUAGGGGAAGAAAGAAGGAAUGACUUCUAAUUUUUAGGUCCGUAUGAUUUGAAAUACGUGCACACAAACCGCGCGAAAGCGUUCCUGGAAAUCUCAGCCCAAAAAAGGACGUUUAGUAUUCUAAAAGGGACUACAGAAUGAAAAACAAUAGUUUUGGCAGUUAAAGUUUGAGAUUCGACGGUGCCGUAGAUCCGUUUGGUCAUCAGGUGUUACGAGCCACACCCAUGUCUAGCUAGAAUAGUGUGCNNNNNNNNNNNNNNNNNNNNNNNNNCGUAUGAUUUGAAAUACGUGCACACAAACCGCGCGAAAGCGUUCCUGGAAAUCUCAGCCCAAAAAAGGACGUUUAGUAUUCUAAAAGGGACUACAGAAUGAAAAACAAUAGUUUUGGCAGUUAAAGUUUGAGAUUCGACGGUGCUGUAGAUCCGUUUGGUCAUCAGGUGUUACGAGCCACACCCAUGUCUAGCUAGAAUAGUGUGCUAGGCUCAGGCUAGAGAAGAAAAGGGGAACAAACUAAUGAAAGAAUGAUCAAUACGAGGGAAUUCACUCAGAACUAACAAUAAUGAUAACGUGCUCCGACUGGAGCGGUUUAGGAACUGCUGGAAGGCUCUAGGCGAAUAAAGAUGGAAUGACUUCUAAUUUUUACGUCCGUAUGAUUUGAAAUACUUGCACACAAACCACGCAAAAGCGUUCCUGGAAAUCUCGGCCUAAAAAGGACGUUUAGUAAUUCUAAAAGGGACUACAGGAUGAAAAAUAAUAGUUUGGGCAGUUAAAAUUUGAGAUUCGACGGUGCCGUAGAUCCGUUUGGUCAUCAGGUGUUACGAGCCACACCCAUGUCUAGCUAGAAUAGUGUGUUAGGCUCAGGCUAGAGAAGAAACGAGGAACAA